This is a small nuclear RNA of Dipodomys ordii (Ord's kangaroo rat), 107 nucleotides long. Lineage: Eukaryota; Metazoa; Chordata; Mammalia; Rodentia; Heteromyidae. The record is from Ensembl.
GCAUUUAUUUUGGCAGCACAUACGCUAAAAUUGUAACAAUACAGAGAAGAUUAGCAUGGCCCUUGUGCAAAGAUGACACACAAAUUUGUGAAGCAUUCCAUAUAUUU